UAUGGAUCCUAACACACAUAUUUAGUCAUUAAUGCUACAUGAGACAAGGCAUUGCACUGCAAUUCUACACAAUAGCCUAAUAAUGACUCAUGGAUUUAUUUAAGAACUGGUAUUACUACUUUUUUGUCUCAUUGUUCACACUCAUUGUUGACCCACACAAUUCACCUCAGAGAACAGACUUAAUAUUGGGCAUUUUAAUUCAUGCUUUUGUUCAGAAACAUUUCAACAGACGUAGGAUUUUACUUCAUUUAUGCACAUGUAUGAUACCGAGCAUCAUUAGCUGAUGUUCAUGCUGUGAUGCUCCUCCUUGCCACAAGAUGGCGAUAUACAGCAGCUUCAUGCUGUCACAUUGAGCGCUGAAACUCGAAUGAAGAUGGUGGCUGUCAGUGAGGAAAAGGUGAAAAUCCCAUUUGGAUCCAAAGAGCUGGAAGGUGCUCUCACGGUUCCUGAAACAGAGUGUGUACAGUCAGCUCUGAUCCUUACACACGGAGCAGGGGGAGAUAUGAACCUGAAGCCAUUAAUGUCAUUGGCACAAGCCGUCUCCACUUCUGGUUUGCUCUGCCUUCGAUUCACAUGCAAAAGCCUGAACCUGGCGCACAGAGUGAGGGCCUAUGAAGCAGCCAUGGUGUACUUGAAAUCCCUUGAUAGAUUUACACUGAGUAACAUUUUCCUUGGGGGACGUUCGAUGGGAGCUCGCGCUGCUGUGGCUCUGGGCAGACAUUUGUGUUUCAAGGAAGAAGUUAAUGUCCAAGGUCUGUUGUGUGUGUCCUUCCCCCUUCAUCCUCCUGGCCAAACACAUGCUCAUGUUAAACGUAGUGAGGACCUGAGAGCGCUUUCCCACAUUCCUGUACUCUUUGUAUCCGGGACUGCAGACAACAUGUGUGAACGACAACUUCUGGAACAUGUUGUGGAGCAGAUGGAGAGCCCAAGUUCUGUGCAUUGGGUGGAGGGAGCCAAUCAUGGACUGGCAGUGAAAGGGAGAACUGAGGAGUCUGUGCUGGAUGAGGUCAACUCACAAAUCAUCACAUGGAUUCUAAAACAUGUCUGAAGACGGAUGCUAUACUGAUAUGACCAGUCCAAUAUCGGACUCUCUGCAACUCCAAUAUCGGAGGCAGAAGUGGCCUCUUCAUAGUGAGCUGAACCAAAUCAUCUGAUUCAGUGAAAAGAGUUGGAAUCCCAUCACUACUGAUUCUCACAAGCAGUCCCUGAGGUGAAUCAUCCAUUCAUCCACCCAUCCAUC
Pangasianodon hypophthalmus (striped catfish) is the source of this 1240-nucleotide RNA transcript. It is a transcript of the gene named testis expressed 30, with no coding region annotated. Lineage: Eukaryota; Metazoa; Chordata; Actinopteri; Siluriformes; Pangasiidae. The record is from RefSeq and is a predicted model, not a curated record. The transcript is spliced from 6 exons.